Molecule: ribosomal RNA, 2853 nt
Filed under: Gracilariopsis lemaneiformis
Lineage: Eukaryota; Rhodophyta; Florideophyceae; Gracilariales; Gracilariaceae
Description: bacterial LSU rRNA
Rfam family: Bacterial large subunit ribosomal RNA
Source: RNAcentral
UCAAGCGACUAAGUGCACACGGUGGAUGCCUUGGCAGUUAGAGGCGAUGAAAGACGUAGGAGCCUGCGAUAAGGUGAGGGGAGCCGGCAAACAUGCUUUGAUCCUCACAUUUCUGAAUGGGGAAACCCACCCGCUUGCGGGUAUCUUGCACUGAAUACAUAGGUGUAAGAGGCGAACCCGGGGAACUGAAACAUCUAAGUACCCGGAGGAAAAGAAAUCAACCGAGAUUCCCCCAGUAGCGGCGAGCGAAAGGGGAUUAGCCGAGNGUGGAAGCUUCUGGAAAGUUGCGCGAUAGAGGGUGAUAGCCCCGUACACGAAAGCAAAGAUCGACGUAUUAAGUAGGACGGGACACGUGUUAUCUUGUCUGAAGAUGGGGGGACCAUCCUCCAAGGCUAAAUACUCCUAACUGACCGAUAGUGAACCAGUACCGUGAGGGAAAGGCGAAAAGAACCCCUGUGAGGGGAGUGAAAUAGAACCUGAAACCGUGUGCGUACAAGCAGUCGGAGCAGAUUUAUUCUGUGACGGCGUACCUUUUGUAUAAUGGGUCAGCGACUUAUUGUCUGUAGCAAGGUUAACCGAUUAGGGGAGCCGUAGGGAAACCGAGUCUUAAUAGGGCGCGAGUUGCAGGCAUUAGACCCGAAACCCGGCGAUCUAUCCAUGGCCAGGUUGAAGGUGCCGUAACAGGCACUGGAGGACCGAACCCACUUAUGUUGAAAAAUGAGGGGAUGAGCUGUGGAUCGGAGUGAAAGGCUAAUCAAGCCGGGAGAUAGCUGGUUCUCCCCGAAAACUAUUUAGGUAGUGCGUCACAUCUCACCCUCGGGGGUAGAGCACUGUUUGGGCUAGGGGGUCAUCCCGACUUACCAACCCCAUGCAAACUCCGAAUACCGAGGAGUGCAAUUGUGGCAGACAGACGGCGGGUGCUAACGUCCGUCGUCAAGAGGGAAACAACCCAGACCGCCAGCUAAGGUCCCAAAUGUUAGUUAAGUGGGAAACGAUGUGGGAAGGCUUAGACAGCUAGGAGGUUGGCUUAGAAGCAGCCAUCCUUUAAAGAAAGCGUAAUAGCUCACUAGUCGAGUCGGCCUGCGCGGAAGAUUUAACGGGGCUAAACUAGCAACCGAAGCUGCGGAUACUUUUUAAGUAUGGUAGGGGAGCGUUCUGUAAGCCGUUGAAGGUGAAUUGAGAAGUUUGCUGGAGGUAUCAGAAGUGCGAAUGCUGACAUAAGUAACGAUAAGGGGAGUGAAAAACUCCCACGCCGGAAGAUCAAGGUUUCCUGUCCAACGUUAAUCGGGACAGGGUUAGUCGACCCCUAAGGCGAGGCUGAGAAGCGUAGUCGAUGGGAAACAGGUUAACAUUCCUGUACUUUUUAUUACUGCGAUGGAGGGACGGAGUAGGCUAGGCCAGCACACUGAUGGUUGUUGUGUUUAAGGCUGUAGGCUGGUGACUUAGGCAAAUCCGGGUCGCUAAGGCUGAGAGUUGAUGACGAGACUCAUUUUGAGUUGAAGUGGUUGAUGCCAUGCUUCCAAGAAAAGCUUCUAAGCUUCAGGUAAUAAAGAAUCGUACUGUAAACCGACACAGGUGAUCAGGUAGAGAAUACCCAGGCGCUUGAGAGAACUCGGGUGAAGGAACUAGGCAAAAUGGCACCGUAACUUCGGGAGAAGGUGCGCCGGUGUUGGUGAUGGGACUUGCUCCCUAAGCUGACGCUGGUCGAAGAUACCAGGCCGCUGCGACUGUUUAUUAAAAACAUAGCACUCUGCAAACACGAAAGUGGACGUAUAGGGUGUGACGCCUGCCCGGUGCCGGAAGGUUAAUUGAUGGGGUUAGCUUCGGCGAAGCUCUUGAUCGAAGCCCCGGUAAACGGCGGCCGUAACUAUAACGGUCCUAAGGUAGCGAAAUUCCUUGUCGGGUAAGUUCCGACCUGCACGAAUGGCUAACGAAUGCAGCACCUGUCCUCCACCCGAGACUCAGUGAAAUCGCAGUUAAGAUGCUGUGUUCCCGCGGCUAGACGGAAAGACCCCGUGAACCUUUACUAUAGCUUGGCACUGAACUCUGAACCUAUUUGUGUAGGAUAGCUGGGAGGCUUUGAAGCGAUGACGCUAGUUGUUGUGGAGCCGACCUUGAAAUACCAGCCUGAUAUGUUUGGGGUUCUAACGUAGGUCCCUUAUCGGGAUUGCGGACAGUGUCUGGUGGGUAGUUUGACUGGGGCGGUCUCCUCCCAAAGAGUAACGGAGGAGCACGAAGGUACCCUAAUCCUGGUCGGAAAUCAGGAGUUUAGUGCAAUGGCAUAAGGGUGCUUGACUGCGAGACUGACAAGUCGAGCAGGUACGAAAGUAGGUCAUAGUGAUCCGGCGAUUCUGUAUGGAAGGGUCGUCGCUCAACGGAUAAAAGGUACUCCGGGGAUAACAGGCUGAUACCGCCCAAGAGUUCACAUCGACGGCGGUGUUUGGCACCUCGAUGUCGGCUCAUCACAUCCUGGGGCUGAAGCCGGUCCCAAGGGUAUGGCUGUUCGCCAUUUAAAGUGGUACGCGAGCUGGGUUUAGAACGUCGUGAGACAGUUCGGUCCCUAUCUGCCGUGGGCGUUGGAAAGUUGAGAAGAGUUGCUCCUAGUACGAGAGGACCGGAGUGAACGAACCGCUGGUGUUCGGGUUGUCAUGCCAAUGGCAUUGCCCGGUAGCUAUGUUCGGACGGGAUAACCGCUGAAAGCAUCUAAGCGGGAAGCCUCCUUCAAGAUUAGCUUUCCCUGACUCCUUGAGAGUCCUGUAGGGCCGUGGAAGACCACCACGUUGAUAGGCUGGGUGUGGAAUUGUUGAGGGUUGGGCUACCAGUUGACUUAACUUGCCCGUGCGGCUUGACCAU